Long non-coding RNA from Phascolarctos cinereus (koala), 1081 nucleotides. RefSeq lists it as uncharacterized. The record is from RefSeq and is a predicted model, not a curated record. Lineage: Eukaryota; Metazoa; Chordata; Mammalia; Diprotodontia; Phascolarctidae.
AAUAGCCUCGAAGCGGGCUCCUGCACAGCCCUGUGACUUGACUCUGCACCCCACCAUGUUGGGAAAGGCAGCAGAAAACUUUGCUUUGGACUCAGCACCCAGGAUUUUAUCCAAACAAUGCAUUGGACUACAAUAAGAUAUGAUCCUGCCCUCAUAGAGCUUACUAUCUAGCCCACCAGGAUCCCCCACCCACUCAGCAAACACAUGCCGAUGUGGCAAAGAAAGUGUUCUAAGAAUCCAAGGAAAACAUGAUAGCAAUCCUGGAAACACAAAGUCAGCAGCUGCCCAGAUACAGAGAAAAGGAACUAGGAAGCGAAAUGUCACGUUGCUUUCCUCUGGCCUACUUGCAAUUUGAAGUGUUUUUAAGAGCAUUGAACACUGGGAUCCAGAGCGGAAGAGACCUUAGAUAUCAGCUACUACAGCUCCUUCAUUUGGAAGGAGGAAAUGGAGGCCCAGAGAAAAGAAAGAUUGCGCUAAUGACCAACCAGGAAUCCAGAAGACCAAGGAUAAAAUAUGGUACCCAGCGCCUGGUAAUAAGAGGAAGAAACCCAUACCUACAAGAUCUCCUGCGUCCAUCCACUUCCCUCUGCUCCCAGAGUGGCUGCUUCGAUUCUGACCUGGCUUCUUACCAGAGUCUCCUAACUGGUCGUCUCUUCCCUCCCCACAAAUGGCCAAAGCAAUUUUCGUUGAGCCCGGGUCUGACCAUGCUACUCCCCUAAUCAUAAACUCACAUGGUUCCCUACCACCUCUAGAUGAAAAUACGUUCUUCAGUUUGGCUUUUUAAAUCUUUCACAACCCGCCUCCAACCUACCCUUCUUGCUUUAGUAUACAUAAUCCCCUCCCAAUGCUCUGUAACCUAGUCAAACUGGCCUUUCUCUCCAAUUCUGCUGCAAGACCCCCAACAUCCCAUCGGCAUGCCUUUGCACUGCCCCACCACCACACACGUGCCCCCAGCAGUGCCCCCCCCAGCUGUAUGCUUGAAAUCAUUCCAGUGUAAGCUCUUCGAAGAAAAGGAUUGUGUCAUUCUUGUCUUUGUAUCUGCAGCGUAUACAAGACAGUCAAUACACGCUUGUUAAAUUGA